GGAUGCAGUAACUCUGACUGUAAUAAAGUAGCAUAAUUAGUUGUCAUUUAAUUGAUGGAGAGAAUGAAUGGUUACACGAAUUUUUCACUGUCUUAAGAAAAAUUUUUUAAAAUUGAAAUAAUAGUUAAGAUGCUAUUUAAAAUUGUAAGACGAAGAGACCCUAUAGAGCUUUACUAUAAACUUUUUUUUUAAAUAGUAAUAAAAAAUUAUUAAAAUUAGAAAGUUUGGUGGUUUAGUUGGGGCGACUGUUUUUUAAAAAUAACAAAAAUAAGCAAUAUAAUAAAUUUAUUUAUUGUAUAAUUAAACAAUUUAACAAUUACUAUAGUAGGCUAUAAUGACCCGUUAUUAUAACAAACAAUAAAUAACGAUUAAUUAAUAAAAGCUACCUUAGGGAUAACAGGA
This 402-nucleotide ribosomal RNA is filed under the name Hydra vulgaris (swiftwater hydra). RNAcentral's name for it is "partial 16S ribosomal RNA". It matches the Rfam family "Bacterial large subunit ribosomal RNA", at positions 1929 to 2482 of the family's 2925-position model. Lineage: Eukaryota; Metazoa; Cnidaria; Hydrozoa; Anthoathecata; Hydridae. The record is from RNAcentral.